Molecule: ribosomal RNA, 537 nt
Filed under: Triticum aestivum (bread wheat)
Lineage: Eukaryota; Viridiplantae; Streptophyta; Magnoliopsida; Poales; Poaceae
Description: partial small subunit ribosomal RNA
Source: RNAcentral
AUGGUUAAGGAGGUGUGGGAGAAACGGGUGGCCGGGCCUACCCCAAUACACAGAUGGAAUAACAAAAUGUGUGCAUUACGUAUAUUCCUUGGUGGUUGGGCAAGGCAUACGGUGGGUAUACUAAAAAAGGAGAAGCUUUGCCUUUCAUCUAUCAUUGAUGAAUUAGAAGCUUUGGCGGAGGUUAGACCUGUAUCUGAGCAUGAAGUCGAGAUGAAGAAUCAUUCGAAUGCACAUAUAGCUAACAUGCUGCGCGAAGAGGAACUAAAAUGGUACCAAAAUUCUAACUCUCAAUUUAUCCUGAAAGGUGAUUCGAAUACUAGAUAUUUCCAUGGAGUCACCAAUGGCAGACAUCGGAAGAAAAUUAUUCAUUCCGUACAACAGGAUGAAGGCACGAUUGAGGGGCAUGAGCAACUUAAAUCUUAUAUCACUAAUUAUUAUAAAAACAUGUUCGGACCCCCAGAGGAAGGAAACUUAUCGAUAGAUGGGUCCCGAACAGAUGACAUCCCCCAGGUCUCUGAUGAGGAAACAACCUUCUAA